AAUCACUUGAAAUCUACCUUUUUUACUGUUAAUGUAAAUGUAAUUUAGCAUAAAACACCAUGUUACAACGUAUUUACCUUUAGCAAGAACUUUUUUCCGUUGCUUGUUUGGCUGAUUAAACAUGUAUAAGUCUCAAUUGUCUUCUUUAAAAUCCUAUGAAUUCAGAUUAAUGUUUGACAUGUUUACUUAUUCGUCGAUUCUCCAUUGCUAUACAGUCUGUUCACCGUACAGACCUAGGGAGUGAUUCAGCCGCAAACGAAGGAAGAAACUUCUUACGAAACCAGCUAUGCUGAGUUGAUAAUUUCAUCGUUGUAGCAAAGUCUUUAAACAUCAUACAGAAGUUCAGAAAUAAUAAAAAGGGAGAAGUACAUCCUAACUGUAUCGUGGUGGAUACCAAAGAACACCUGAAGAUCCGCUCUCUUUAAACAAUGCUCUUUUGUUUAUCAAAUACGGAUUUAUGCUAUGGAGUUCUUUUAGCAACAAUCAAACUGCCACUGUCAAAACUGUACACAAUUGUUUUGGAAAAAUUCUCCGAAUGCAUAAUGUUGCUUGUUUUCCUUCUCCGAACUGAGUAAUAACGUACAUUUGAAGCACUAUUUUGAAAAGCCAACUGUGGUUACAAAUACGAUUGUUAUAGUUACAUGAAUAUCUAUAUUAAUGAAGUCAUUUGAUGCUCAUUUGUAAUAAAUUAGCGUUAAACUUAACAUAUAUUCCCUUUUUUCUACUUUUAGCGAGACAUACAAGACAUGUAAUAGUUAUAGGAUACCAAACAUUAGAAGCUACGUUACAUAGAGCAAUUACACAGAUUUAAUCGAAAUACAAUGAGCAUAUUGCUCUUUAUUAUAAUAUUGAGUGUCACACAUGUCACAAGAUGAUUUCCGUGUGUACAUUAACAGAAUCUUUAUGGUGGUCUAAUAUUUAGUGCUGGCUGGUUAUUGACAACCAAAUUAUGUGCCCCUUUUACUUUUAGUCGUUGUUCUGCUCUGAACAGAACACAACUUUAAUUUUGUCCUUUCGGGUACUGUGUAAUUUUAAUUUUGUGUUAUCUAAUGUUAUUUGUAAUUACCAAUGAAAAUCAAAGUAGACAUCCUUAGUGAGUAUUUGUUGCUUUGGUUUGUAGGGCUGAAUCAGUUCUAUUGUGAAUGGCUAAAUGUAUAUGAUUUUGCCCUCAUCUUUUCUGAGUAUUUGUAUUAUUUAUUGAGAGGUAUCCAACUAUCAAUAUCAGAAUGAAAUUAGUCUGCCUUUAUCGUUUGGCCUUUUAUACAAAUGUAAUUCUGCAAAUGUAUUGUUAUACCGGUUGUCUGUUAAGAUCUCUACUCCAUCGUCACCUCUUAUGUUCAGAAUUCAAUCUGAAUUUAUGUAUAUACAUUUUCUUUUUCAUUUGCUGCUUUUGUUUUAUUAUAGUCCUUGCCAAGAAGCCUUCGGGUGGGUGGUUUGGUGGCCUAGUUUUUUGGUUUCUAUCUACCUUUUUUGUGGGCAGGCAGUUUUUUGGAUGCUUGUAUUACACAAAAUUUCUAGUCCUUCGGCCCCCUAUCUUGUGUUUUGUGUAGAUAUUUAUUUUUUAUAUGUGUGUAUAAUAGGGGGUUAUGGUUGCAUUCAGCACCACAUGUUUUAUUACUAUGUAACAUGUUUUUGAAUGCCCCCUAUUUUGUAUUCAUCUUUUCAUCAUUUACUAAAUAAAUGACAAUUUUCAUUCUUACACGUGUUCUGUUUUAUGCCUACUUUUGCAAAAAACAAGCUCAGUCUCCUUGGCUAGAAAUAAAAGCUAAGGAACAUAAAUUAGUGAUUAUUGUAAAUAAUAACGUUUAUGUGACGUGCUGUGUUUAUUUCUUUGUUUAUCUCACUUUACACUGUUCCAUACUUUGCUUAUGUAGUCUCCUGAAGUCUAUGUUUACCCUAACCCUUAAUUUGUGCUUCUAGUCCAAUCAGAUGUGUUCAAUUUGUAACGUGUCUCUUAUUGAUCUGUUUAUUUUUAACAAGAAGCCACGCAAUUGUUGUGCAGUGAAAUUUUUACCCACCGUCCACCCCUUCUACCUCCUUAGAUAGUUAUUUAUAUUUGUUAUUUUUGGCCUAGUGUUUUUGGUUUCUACCCACCUUUUUUAUGGGCAGGCAGUUAUUUGGAUGCUUGUUUUUACUUAUGUGUCCACAGUAGGGGUUCUGUCAUGUAUUUUUUGUACAUGUAUUACAUACAAUUUCUAGUCCUUUGGCCCCCUAUCUUGUGUUUUGUGUAGAUAUGUAUUUUCCAUAUGUGUGUAUAAUAGGGGGUCAUGGUUGCAUUCAGCACCACGUGUUUUAAUACUAUGUAACAUGUUUUUGAAUGCCCCCUAUUUUGUAUUUAUCUUUUCGUCAUUUACUAAAUAAAUGACAAUUUUUAUUUUUACUCAUGUGUUUUCUUUUAUGCCUGCUUUAGCAAAAAACAAGCUAAGGUUCCUUGGCUAGAACAUAAAAGCUAAGGAACAUAAACAUAUUUACGACGUCAAUAGUGGUUUACAUUGAUACGAAUUUCUCGUAUAUCAUUUAAUUGUUAACUUAGAAAUAUGCCACAAACGCAUUAUCAAUCCUGCUUUCUGUUUUUGGUAAAUGUUUUAUUUUCAUUAGAAUUCUUUUUUUAUAAUAAUGAUAUACUUUGAAAGCAUAUGAAAACGGUUGCUGUUUUAUUACAAGACUGUUUAUCUGAAUAUCAGAUGCAAAAGAAAAUAAGUCAAAACCAAAAUAAUUUUGGUUUCAAGUAUUUUAAUGUUCAAUCCACACAAUGUUCAUCCAUCAUUUUCUAUUUUAACUAUGUCCAAUGGUUUGUGAUACGUUUUAU
This is a long non-coding RNA of Magallana angulata, 2809 nucleotides long. RefSeq lists it as uncharacterized. The transcript is spliced from 3 exons. NCBI's taxonomy places the organism in Eukaryota, Metazoa, Mollusca, Bivalvia, Ostreida, Ostreidae. The record is from RefSeq and is a predicted model, not a curated record.